GACGAACGCUGGCGGCGUGCUUAACACAUGCAAGUCGAACGGAAAGGCCCUGCUUUUGUGGGGUGCUCGAGUGGCGAACGGGUGAGUAACACGUGAGUAUCCUGCCCUUGACUUUGGGAUAACUUCAGGAAACUGGGGCUAAUACCGGAUAGGAGCUCCUGCUGCAUGGUGGGGGUUGGAAAGUUUCGGCGGUUGGGGAUGGACUCGCGGCUUAUCAGUUUGUUGGUGGGGUAGUGGCUUACCAAGCCUUUGACGGGUAGCCGGCCUGAGAGGGUGACCGGCAACAUUGGGACUGAGGUACGGACCAGACUCCUACGGGAGGCAGCAGUGGGGAGUAUUGCACAAUGGGCGGAAGCCUGAUGCAGCAACGACGCGUGCGGGAUGACGGCCUUCGGGUUGUAAACCGCUUUCGCCUGUGACGAAGCGUGAGUGACGGUAAUGGGUAAAGAAGCACCGGCUAACUACGUG
RNAcentral lists this ribosomal RNA (468 nucleotides) under uncultured bacterium. RNAcentral describes it as "partial 16S ribosomal RNA". It matches the Rfam family "Bacterial small subunit ribosomal RNA", at positions 28 to 507 of the family's 1533-position model. The record is from RNAcentral.